GUGGGGAAUAUUCCGCAAUGGACGAAAGUCUGACGGAGCAACGCCGCGUGAGUGAUGAAGGUUUUCGGACUGUAAAGCUCUGUUGUUUGGGACGAAAGUGCCUGUUGCGAACAGUUACGGGUAUUGACGGUACUAAACGAGGAAGCCACGGCUAACUACGUGCCAGCAGCCGCGGUAAUACGUAGGUGACAAGCGUUGUCCGGAAUUAUUGGGCGUAAAGAGCAUGUAGGCGGGAAUCUAAGUCUGUUGUUAAAAUGCGGGGCUCAACCCCGUAUUGCGAUGGAAACUGGGUUUCUUGAGUGCAGGAGAGGAAAGGGGAAUUCCCAGUGUAGCGGUGAAAUGCGUAGAUAUUGGGAGGAACACCAGUGGCGAAGGCGCCUUUCUGGACUGUGUCUGACGCUGAGAUGCGAAAGCCAGGGUAGCGAACGGGAUUAGAAACCCUUGUAGUCC
RNAcentral lists this ribosomal RNA (450 nucleotides) under uncultured bacterium. RNAcentral's name for it is "partial 16S ribosomal RNA". It matches the Rfam family "Bacterial small subunit ribosomal RNA", at positions 354 to 796 of the family's 1533-position model. The record is from RNAcentral.